This 253-nucleotide ribosomal RNA is filed under the name uncultured bacterium. RNAcentral describes it as "partial 16S ribosomal RNA". It matches the Rfam family "Bacterial small subunit ribosomal RNA", at positions 524 to 776 of the family's 1533-position model. The record is from RNAcentral.
UACGAAAGGGGCUAGCGUUGUUCGGAAUUACUGGGCGUAAAGCGCACGUAGGCGGCCUUGUAAGAUGGGGGUGAAAUCCCCGGGCUCAACCCGGGAACUGCCUUCAUGACUGCAAAGCUAGAGGAUGCGAGAGGUUAGCGGAAUUCCGAGUGUAGAGGUGAAAUUCGUAGAGAUUCGGAAGAACACCAGUGGCGAAGGCGGCUAACUGGCGCAUUUCUGACGAUGAGGUGCGAAAGAGUGGGGAGCAAACAGG